RNAcentral lists this long non-coding RNA (3246 nucleotides) under Capsicum annuum. RNAcentral's name for it is "long non-coding RNA (CANN_LNC003291)". Lineage: Eukaryota; Viridiplantae; Streptophyta; Magnoliopsida; Solanales; Solanaceae. The record is from RNAcentral.
AACAAUACGCGUACAACCAGCCAAAAUCCGAACUCAGCUCUGACCCGCGUCCAACGGCGACCCACGAACAACCCGACCCUAACCCGAAUCAGCUCCAACCACGACAAAUACGACAACAUCUCGAGCAACUCAGCUUAUUUUUGAAAUUUUGCAAUUCAAAUUCGUACCCAAAUGGUACCGUUUUCCAGCUCACCCUUAUCCUCUUAUCUGGAUUUGAAUUUUCCCAUUUUAUUUUAUUUUCCAAAACGCCCUUGGAAUGGCUAUCCCACAUCGGUGAUCAAGAAUCCAUCCCCCAUGUUAUUUGCUAUAAAUAGCUCAUCAUUGAGCCAAAAAUACUAAGUCUUGAAGGGGGAAAAUCUAAUUUCAAGCAACGAGUCAUUUUUUAGUAAAAGUUUUGUUCCCGAAAGAAGUCGACUAUUAUGACGUUUUCGGAGUCACUGCAAACGAUUGGAGUCGCUGCAAAGCUCUACCGGAGGUGGUUGAGAUUUCAGUGAAAACUCGAGUCCCAUUUUGUUGCUCCGAAAGAGGUAAGCUUUCUGACACUUUAUUUUUUGCAAUUUUGCUUCAUUUUUGUUAUCGUAAUGUAAUGUAGUUUUUCCUUUUCGUUGCUAGGUGUUCGCUGUAGAGGGCUUCAAUAGCCAUAGGAUCUGUUUUUAGUGGUGGUUGUUACGUUGCUUUGCUAGAUUGAUAGCCGUAUUUGUUCCACCAUCUAUUUCACACUCUUGAUUUUGGUGUUUUGAAUUCACUGUUUCGUUGAUAUGGUUGGGUCACUGUUUCAAUUUAAUCAUUGUUUUGUCAUUAGAAUUUGAUUAUCGUUUCGGUAUUAACUUUGUUUAGGGAGGAUUCCAUGUAUGAUUUUUUUCUGAUUUGUUGUAGGCUUAACGUCCUAAUCUUAUUAUCAGUGUUUAAUUUUGUUUCCAAAAAUCAUUGCAAUACUAGUUUGAUUAGCUAUCAGCAUAUUGUUUUCAUAUUCAACAUCAUGACCUGAUUUGCUUGUAUUUAAGCAGACUCUUUGUUGCAUUAAUUUUUAUGUGUUGCUUCAGUUAAGUGUUUUUAGUGGUUCACCUGAUUUCCCUGUCUUGUCUUGUAUUCAUCUUCAAAUUUUCGUGACCUAGUAGGAUAUUCGUCAAGUUCAUUUUAAUUAGAAAGUAAAUAAGCAAAAGGGGUCAAGAAAGGAGGGGGAAUAUGUCAUAAAAGUUCUUUAUUUUUACACCUGAUGUGUUAACAUUCUCAUGAUAUUGUAAUAUUAGUUUCGAUGUUCUAGGGCGAAUUUGCGGAUGUUCUUGUCGCAUAGAUAUUGCAAAAUUCACUAUGGGUAUCCUUUGUAGCAGAAACUUCUAUCUUCCAAUAUUGUAUUGCGCAAAUAGGCUACUUGUCUUUUCUUUCUUCUUUUUUUACCUAUUCUCCUCUAACUUGCGAAAAGUUGAAUUUUGUUGAAUCUUAGUUGCACACUAAUAAGCUUGAUAAUCUGUGGCAUAAGCUUCUUUGGUUGUGAUUCGCUAAUGUUCUUAUUCACUAUUUAUCCCUGCCUUUGCCUGUUUACUAAGUUUUUCGUAAGUCUUUCGGUUUAAUAUCUUUGUGUCACCAAAAUUUUCUAUAGCAUUAAAACAUAAUCUGUUAACUUUGUUUGCUCGCAAUUGUGAGAAUUUCCUAUAUUACCUUAUCCUCCCUGUUUAUUUGGAAAUCAUUGCUUGGUAUAAGUUCCUCUUCGGUUUUGCGAGCCAUUGCCUUCUCUACAUUUGUGUGUUCAGCCGCUAAUUUAGAACAUAUGUUAAUCACUUUGUUUUUCUUUUGCAUGUGUAUACGUUCGAGUCCUACAUGUACUCCUUUGCCUUUGCAUGUCUUUUAUGGGCCAUUGAGGCCCAAUAACCCCGAGUCGACCUCGAAAGACCAAGUUCAAAGACAAUCUCAUUGCAUAUUGACACGAGAAGAUAGAAGAGGAAGGAAAAUGGGCUAAAGUCCUAUCCUUGAAGCGGCUAAGAGACUUGAAAGUCUCGUUUCUUCAUUUAUUCAUUCGUAUUGUUGUCUUUAUUUAUUUAUUUCAUUGUUUAUUCAUUUGGGUCUCGAAGGCAAAGUUGUAAAUUUAAUACAGGUGGAGCGGAUUUUGGGCCAAAAAGGCUCGGAAACUAGAUUAGGACAGGUAAAAUGGGUCGAAAGCCCAAUUAGACUAGGACAGGUUUCGUUGAUUUGGGUCCAAUGGCCUAAAUCUUUUACUUUCUCCUCCCUUUCCCCUUUUAUGUGUUUAUUUGCUUAUUAGUUUUGUUUAGACUUAGUUAAAAUCCCUCUUAAGUCGCCUAAAUCUAUUUUACACAAGUAUUUUCUAAAAAAUCAAUCACUUUUUCAACAAAUCAAUCUUUUUUUUAGUAAGUCAAAAAGAUGUUUUCAAACAGUUCGGAUAACCGCAAGUUAGCGGACGUUUUAGGUGCCUAAAACCUUCCUAAAACGUUAAUAGGAACCACUUACUCAGAAUCUUCGAAACUUAAAUGAUUUUUCUAUUUUGGAUCGUUUAAAGUAUCAUCUAAAGGUUUCUUAAUUCCUUUUCAAAAUUAAGUGGUGACUUUCAAAAGUCAAAAUUUUCGCAAAAUAAAAUUUUCGCAAAAUAAUGUUUAUUCUUUGUAAAACUUUACGGACAAGCAUGUGAUCAUUAAGCAAAGGCUGAUUGCAUCUAGAUAAGUGCAUUUUCCUUUGAACUUUUCAUAGUGAACAUGCAUCGGAUGCAUUCGGUCAAUUGAUAGGUUUGAUAUCUUGGAGCUGUCGAGCUUUAAUGUAUUCCUAGACAACACGUCACACAAUCAGUCUUUUACCAUUUAUUGUUCUCAUGAUUUUGUUUGUUUCAGUCAUGAACACAUCUCGGUUUCAUAAGAGCUUAGAGAAUAGAUCUUUACUAACAUUCUCUUUGAAGCGGCUUUCACUCCACCCUCACAUAGGUGAUUUCUAAACGCUCAAUCUUAUAGAUUAAACUAUUUGGUUAAAUCUGCCUAUGUAGAUAAUCAUUAAAAAACUUUAUAUCAUAAAUUUUAUCCUUGUUUACUAAACAUUGUCUACGUCAUGAGAAUGGGUUGGGUAUAUUGACAAUGUUGAACCUGUCAGACAUAAUUUUGUUUGAUCUUCUCGAACUUAGCUCUUGGGAUCUCCAGCCUGCUAGGUAGAGUUAUCCCCAUGCUGACUUGUCUUAGGCCAUAAACCCAUUCCUUUGGAUGUUUUCUCAACUCUCUCUCUAGAUAGGCAUUUUGUAAGUUGAUCCGA